CUUUCCACCCCAGACAGAGUAGACCUACCUUUCCACCCCAGACAGAGUAGGCCUACCUUUCCACCCCGGACAGAGUAGGCCUACCUUUCCACCCCGGACAGAGUAGGCCUACCUUUCCACCCCGGACAGAGUAGGCCUACCUUUCCACCCCGGACAGAGUAGGCCUACCUUUCCACCCCGGACAGAGUAGGCCUACCUUUCCACCCCGGACAGAGUAGGCCUACCUUUCCACCCCGGACAGAGUAGGCCUACCUUUCCACCCCGGACAGAGUAGGAAAGGUACCUUUCCACCCCGGACAGAGUAGGUCUACCUUUCCACCCCGGACAGAGUAGGAAAGGUACCUUUCCACCCCGGACAGAGUAGGAAAGGUACCUUUCCACCCCGGACAGAGUAGGCCUACCUUUCCACCCCAGACAGAGAAGGCCUACCUUUCCACCCCAGACAGAGUAGGCCUACCUUUCCACCCCGGACAGAGUAGGAAAGGUACCUUUCCACCCCAGACAGAGUAGGCCUACCUUUCCACCCCAGACAGAGAAGGCCUACCUUUCCACCCCAGACAGAGUAGGCCUACCUUUCCACCCCAGACAGAGAAGGCCUACCUUUCCACCCCAGACAGAGUAGGCCUACCUUUCCACCCCAGACAGAGAAGGCCUACUGAUGCAGAAAAAUGUAAGCUUUAACUGCUGGCUACUCUUCUUCCAUGGCUUAACCCAAUGAGAGAAGGUCGUAAGUGCUUCCCUAAAAGCUGUCUUGGUUUAAACAUAUUUUAUUGUACAGAAGGUGAUUAGCUUAAUCAAUUGAUAGUGACAGAAUUAGAUUACUUCCCAAGCAAAGUGAUUGUUUUGUCUUCUUGGAUAUAAGAGGUUGUAGAUCAGCCUCUCAAUGUCAAAGAAACAAAACAAUGAUAUCCCCAAUGAUACAGAUUGUUUCUAGCAUAAAGCAUCGCGGACGAAAGCGAUUUUAUAGAUCACUUUAUAUAAUCGGAUCCAUUCUAUUUUCUUCAAAAUCUUAAUAUAACAAGGGGUAGGGCUGUGCUUUUUGCCAUUCUCUUUAGUAAAAAGUAGGCAUAUGACAUAACAUCUCAUACCCUCUCAACUUGAGUCUAGUUUUUAACUUAACAGCCCUUCAAUGACACGGAGGUAGGCUAUUUAAAGAGUGGAGGAUUUGACUGACAAAUGUAUGGAUAUAGCAGCAGCCUAAUUUCUUCUGUCAAACAGGUAGACCUACCUCUUCUUUCUUAAAUAGGAAGAAACAGGCUCCAGCACAAAGCCCUCUUGUUAGUAAAGUCUAAUAAAAAUGAAUAUGGUUCAAAUGAAUUAUGCAUACUUUUAGCACCAUGAGCUGUCCGUUUCUGAUUGAUUGUGCCGUGGCUGCUGCUUCAAGUCUCAGCACCACAAUGUAAGUGGCUCGAACCUGGCUAAUUAUUUAACUCUGGUAAAUAGGUCUACAUCAUGGGAAAGAAACAUUGUUUUUAAUCAAAUCUAUAGUAGCAAGCUAUCAAAGUUUACCUCUGGUCCUCCUCAUCUUCACGCUCUCCUUCUCAAACUGAACUGAACAGAACAUGGGCAAGAUAGUGAAUUUUUUGGACUAGGCUUAAUUAAUAAAAUAUUAUUUUUGGAAGAAGCCUUUGACUUUCCUCCUGAACUGCCACCUUAGGCCUACACAGUACAACCAUUGGUUAGGCAGCACACAAAAAGGUUUUGAUCAGCAAGAGCAGAGCAGGCUGGGGCUCAGGGUUGGAAUGUCCCUUGCCGUGUGUAAUGCAGUCUAGUUUUAUUUACACCAUCCCAGCAGCUAUCUUAGAAAUAUAACUUUGUUCUGUGCUUGUCUGAGGAUGCACUUCGUAGCCUAUAGCAGGGAUCAUCAACUAGAUUCGGCCGCGGGACAAUUUUUUUCUGGAGCGGAUGGUCAGGUGGCCAGAACACAAUUACACAUAAUUUGUAGACUGCAAAUUGACAGCAAGAAGCCCAAACAGAUAUGUUUAACGAAAACAUAAUUAUUUCAAACCUUACUUACAUUUGUAUAUGAUCAAGGGUCUCUCAAUUAUGCGUGGGAAUACCUGGGAACAGAUUUCUUAAAUUUAAACCACUUGGAGCCGAUUUCCUGGUGUUUUUACAGUCUUUUAUGUCCAACAAUGAGAAUUCCACACACUAAAAAAAACUUGUGGGGCCAAAUAAAAUGUGGCCCGCGGGCCGCCAGUUGGAGAACCCUGGCCUAUAGGGUAUGGGUCAUUUGAUUGAUACCACACUAAAUAGCUUAUAAGGGCACUUCAAUAGCAUGCCCAGCGGAGAAUCAUAGAUGAGGGGUGGCAUCGGGCACACAUCGCCUUAUAAGCAACUAAUUCUAAAACACUGAGAAAUAUAGAAAUUUCAUCAAUUACAAAUGAUGACGCCCCUGGACUAGAUAGAAAAAAAAUACUAGACACUCCUCUUGGAUAAAAUUGACUAAGCAUGACCCUCCCCCAUUUUCCUCCAGGUACCCAUUAUGUCAAUUUCAAUCCAUCCUUACUGUAAGCUUUCUUACAGUAGGUAUCAGGCAAGGCUCGUUCAACAGCUUGUACAUGUCACUAUGCAAACUAGACUGAAACUAGCCUAGUUUCUACUAAUGGUAAACAGACUGGAAGUGCAUUUUCACCUUACUCAUUGAUCUUUAUAAACAAACUCAAGUUGAUUGCUCUUUAUUUCUAUCCAAUUUAAAGCCAGAUUGGUAUGGUGUCUUAUCCAGUAAGCAGAUACAUUGUUCUAGGUAUCCUUCAUCUCUAAGUCUAUGGAGGGCCUUAUCAUUGCAAUUACUGACAAUUUGAAUGCAAAGUUUGUGGUUCCAUCUUUAGGACAUGGUAUAAAACACGAUCGCAGUGUAGGCUCUCUUGACAUCCUUGUCAGUGGUUUGUCGUUGUUCAUUUCUUGAUGAUUCUGGUUGUAAUAUAGUCUUAUUUUUUUCUGUGGUUGUGAAAGUAGAAGUAUUUCGUACCUAAAAAAUAAAUAACUACAGUACAAUGAAUGAAAAAAA
Non-coding RNA from Salmo salar (Atlantic salmon), 3010 nucleotides. Lineage: Eukaryota; Metazoa; Chordata; Actinopteri; Salmoniformes; Salmonidae. The record is from RefSeq and is a predicted model, not a curated record.